CCGGUAGCUCAGGCGGUUAGAGCGCACGCCUGAUAAGCGUGAGGUCGGAGGUUCAAGUCCUCCUCGGCC
RNAcentral lists this transfer RNA (69 nucleotides) under Asterionellopsis glacialis. It matches the Rfam family "tRNA". From Rfam's summary of the family: Transfer RNA (tRNA) molecules are approximately 80 nucleotides in length. RNAcentral also lists the same sequence under 1 other name. The record is from RNAcentral. Lineage: Eukaryota; Bacillariophyta; Plagiogrammaphyceae; Rhaphoneidales; Asterionellopsidaceae.